UACGUAGGUGACAAGCGUUGUCCGGAUUUACUGGGCGUAAAGAGCGCGCAGGCGGUCGAUUAAGUCGAGUGUGAAAGCCCCCGGCUCAACUGGGGAGGGUCAUUCGAUACUGAUCGACUCGAAGGCAGGAGAGGGUAGUGGAAUUCCCGGUGUAGUGGUGAAAUGCGUAGAUAUCGGGAGGAACACCAGUGGCGAAGGCGACUACCUGGCCUGUUCUUGACGCUGAGGCGCGAAAGCUAGGGGAGCAAACGGG
Molecule: ribosomal RNA, 253 nt
Filed under: uncultured bacterium
Lineage: Bacteria
Description: partial 16S ribosomal RNA
Rfam family: Bacterial small subunit ribosomal RNA
Source: RNAcentral